CACGGGGGGAACGAGCGUUGUUCGGAUUUACUGGGCGUAAAGGGUGUGUAGGCGGGUCGGCAAGUCGGGUGUGAAAUUCCAUGGCUUAACCAUGGAUCUGCAUUCGAAACUGUUGGGCUUGAGUACUGGAGAGGGGAGUGGAAUUCUCGGUGUAGGGGUGAAAUCCGUAGAUAUCGGGAGGAACAUCAGUGGCGAAGGCGGCCACCUGGACGGUGACUGACGCUGAGACGCGAAAGCGUGGGGAGCAAACAGG
RNAcentral lists this ribosomal RNA (253 nucleotides) under uncultured bacterium. Its description in RNAcentral is "partial 16S ribosomal RNA". It matches the Rfam family "Bacterial small subunit ribosomal RNA", at positions 524 to 776 of the family's 1533-position model. The record is from RNAcentral.